Scatophagus argus is the source of this 1878-nucleotide long non-coding RNA. RefSeq lists it as uncharacterized. Lineage: Eukaryota; Metazoa; Chordata; Actinopteri; Scatophagidae. The transcript has 2 exons. The record is from RefSeq and is a predicted model, not a curated record.
CUGGUGUUAGUGGCUCGUGCCUGGCAGGAUCCAGGGGCGGGGCCCCGCAAGCAUUUGGCCCCUGUUUUCUUCAGAGCACUUCAUUGGCUGAAUUUUGAAAGGUCCACAAAGGUCAUAGUUUGGUUGACUUCACCUGCAAAGGUUCUUCUACCUCAGACAGGCCGAGAGAACAGACAUGGGAGAAGAGUGCACAGAAGGGGAUUUGGAGGAGUUACACUUGUCCUCCCUGUUUUAAUCCUGCAUCAUAUGUGUUUUGAUCUCUCUCAGGUGUCUCACUCCUUCCCUGCCCUGCCCUGCCCUGCCCUGCUCCACUGCACUGUGAUUGGUCCAUUUGGAGGGAUUGUUGUUAGCCUGGGUGGCAGGCUAGAUUGCUGCCUCUCAGAUGCACCAGCUGAUGAAGUUUCCCACCUGUCCAUUGUCUUCUCUCCUGGUGGUGUACAGGACAGGAUCUCACCACGGUCUCGAUACUGGUGCGGGUGGAGUUAAGUCGACAGGUGGUUGAUGGGAACCCUGAGUUGAAUCUCCUGAAAAUCCUGGAUGUCACUGGACGUCAUGGCCUGUACAAUAGUAGGUGUGGCAGAUAGAAUGAUCACUGUGGUCGCAUAUGCUGAUAUUAUAACUGUGAAUGAGAAACAGAAGUGAUGGAGGAGUCGAGAACAGGAAGACAUAGCAGAAAUCCGUCCACAGAAAGGAGGAAUAAAGACAGAAAGUGAGAGAAUUUAAUGCAGUCAUAAUCAAAAUUACGUUUCAACCUGAGGAGACAUGCAGCAGGGACCUCCUGUCCAGUUGAGGCUAAUAUGAUGUCUGUAAAUGAGGUGGUUGAGGGUCAGAGCGUUGCGCAGUGAUACGUGUUGAUGGACAUGCAAUCUGUAGGUGAAAUUAGUUGUGUGACAGUCUCUCUAACCGGCAGGCUCCCACACUGUCUGCCCUCCAGUCUGACUAAACCAUCCCUUCGGUUAUUUCGUCAGCUCAUUGUUCAUUCAGUCCUUCUCAAUACUGCAAAUCUGCACUAAAUAGUUUCCAUUCAGCGUGAUCGGGCUUAGUGCAGGGGACAGAGAUGAUUUAUGACUUUGUGACUUUAAGCUGCUCACAACAUUGAAUCCAUAAUUACUUUUAGUGUGGGCUGAAAUGUUGUCAGUGACCCGAAACAGAGUGACCGUUUCUGGACAAACUGGCUGAAACUGAUGGGGAGUUAAGUGGAUAUAAGGGGGUGCUUAUGCCAAGCAGAGCUCACAAAUAAUGGCCUAUUAAACGUGCAAUUUGUGAGAGCUGAUAGCCGCUAAUGAAGCCUGUGUGUUUCAAAUUGGGUUGACAAUAUACAGCAAGUGAAGUCUUUUAGAGAAAACCAGACAGACAAAAGACAAGCAGAACAUCUGACAGCAGUGGAUGUUCGAGUCUCUCCGGGGAGUCUUAAUCUGCUGUGUUUGAAUGUCGAAAAAACUUGAGUCUUAAGAAUCAAAGUCCCCAGAUUUACUUGCACAUUGUUUCAGAGUUUGAAGGCAACAAACAAACUCAAGGUCAUUCAAUCACAACAACACCCAAGGAGGUGUUUUUCUCUUUUUGGUCACCAGGAGAGUUGACUACAGAGAAUAGAAGUGUCAGAGAUGUCCUUGGCUAAACUUCAUUCGAACUGUCUUAUUUUUGACAAAAUGACCAGCUGGCAUGGAAACAGAAACAGAGAAAAACAAGCUUUGAAAUUCCAGCUGGACUUUGAAUUCCCCAGACGGUCACUUUGCACAUUUCCUUUUGUGUUCUGUGUUCGUAUAACUCUGGAUAACAAGAAUUAAAUGCUAACAGUAAGACAGCUUUAAUCAAUAUUUGUGCACUUUUAAGUCUCGUGGUAAUGAUCUGGCACCCAGUACUGUAAAAAAGAAUAUA